UGGAAAUUGCGAAAAUGAUUAAAAAUAAGAUGUCUGAUAUUUACAGAUGUUGAGGUAUAGAAUAAGAGUCUUAGACUCAGUAUUUACCCGAUAAAGCUGUCGGUACGCCGACAAAUGUCAGACCCUAUAAUAGAAAGAAAAGGCUACUGUAAGAGCAUGGAUGAGAUAUUUGAAAAAUGUAUAAAAAUAUUUCAAGUAUAG
RNAcentral lists this long non-coding RNA (201 nucleotides) under Panax ginseng (ginseng). RNAcentral's name for it is "long non-coding RNA (PGIN_LNC000815)". Lineage: Eukaryota; Viridiplantae; Streptophyta; Magnoliopsida; Apiales; Araliaceae. The record is from RNAcentral.